GAAGUUCGCCAGGCAGUCGCGACACGCGAAAGCGUAUCGAGGAAAGUCCGGGCCACAUAGAGCAGGAUGCCGGCUAACGGCCGGGCGCCAUACGCCGAAAGGCUAAAGCGACGGAAAGUAUUGCCCGAAGGGGUGAUCAUUGCGUGUUCUGUGAUCUGCGCCGCUUGCGGUGGGGAAACCCGAGCAGAUGCGCGAUGGCAACAGAAAACAAACCGCCGACGACCGCAGAUGUCGGGUCAGGGUGAAACGGUGGGGUAAGAGCCCACCGCGGACGUGGUGACACGGACGGCAUGGCAAACCCCAUCCGGGGCAAGGCCAAAUAGGGGAGCAUUGGCGUGGCUCGCGUCGCUCCCGGGUAGGCUGCUAGAGCGGCGUGGCAACGCGUCGCCGAGAGGAAUGACUGCCCGGCGCUCGCAAGAGCGUUUGACAGAACCCGGCUUAUCGGCGGACUUCCCAC
RNAcentral lists this RNase P RNA (457 nucleotides) under Rhodocyclaceae bacterium. RNAcentral's name for it is "RNase P RNA component class A". It matches the Rfam family "Bacterial RNase P class A". From Rfam's summary of the family: Ribonuclease P (RNase P) is a ubiquitous endoribonuclease, found in archaea, bacteria and eukarya as well as chloroplasts and mitochondria. Its best characterised activity is the generation of mature 5'-ends of tRNAs by cleaving the 5'-leader elements of precursor-tRNAs. Cellular RNase Ps are ribonucleoproteins. Lineage: Bacteria; Pseudomonadati; Pseudomonadota; Betaproteobacteria; Rhodocyclales; Rhodocyclaceae. The record is from RNAcentral. RNAcentral also lists the same sequence under 2 other names.